AGUGAACGCUGGCGGUAGGCCUAACACGUGCAAGUCGAACGGCAGCACAGUAAGAGCUUGCUCUUACGGGUGGCGAGUGGCGGACGGGUGAGGAAUACAUCGGAAUCUACUUUUUCGUGGGGGAUAACGUAGGAAAACUUACGCUAAUACCGCAUACGACCUACGGGUGAAAGUAGGGGAUCUUCGGACCUUGCGCGAUUGAAUGAGCCGAUGUCGGAUUAGCUAGUUGGCGGGGUAAAGGCCCACCAAGGCGACGAUCCGUAGCUGGUCUGAGAGGAUGAUCAGCCACACUGGAACUGAGACACGGUCCAGACUCCUACGGGAGGCAGCAGUGGGGAAUAUUGGACAAUGGGCGCAAGCCUGAUCCAGCCAUACCGCGUGGGUGAAGAAGGCCUUCGGGUUGUAAAGCCCUUUUGUUGGGAAAGAAAAGCAGCAGGUUAAUACCCCGCUGUUCUGACGGUACCCAAAGAAUAAGCACCGGCUAACUUCGUG
RNAcentral lists this ribosomal RNA (492 nucleotides) under uncultured bacterium. Its description in RNAcentral is "partial 16S ribosomal RNA". It matches the Rfam family "Bacterial small subunit ribosomal RNA", at positions 29 to 507 of the family's 1533-position model. The record is from RNAcentral.